Molecule: ribosomal RNA, 461 nt
Filed under: uncultured Leptolinea sp.
Lineage: Bacteria; Bacillati; Chloroflexota; Anaerolineae; Anaerolineales; Anaerolineaceae
Description: bacterial SSU rRNA
Rfam family: Bacterial small subunit ribosomal RNA
Source: RNAcentral
AAAUUGACGGGGACCCGCACAAGCGGUGGAUGAUGUGGUUUAAUUCGAUGCAACGCGAAGAACCUUACCAGGGUUUGACAUGCAAGUGUAGGAAUCCGAAAGGUGACCGACCCUUCGGGGAGCUUGCACAGGUGCUGCAUGGCUGUCGUCAGCUCGUGUCGUGAGAUGUUCGGUUAAGUCCGCUAACGAGCGCAACCCUCGUCGUGUGUUAUACGUGUCACACGAUACUGCCGGUAUCAAGCCGGAGGAAGGUGGGGAUGAUGUCAAGUCAGCAUGGCCUUUAUAUCCUGGGCUACACACACGCUACAAUGGCAGAUACAGUAGGUUGCGAAACCGCGAGGUGGAGCCAAUCCUCAAAGUCUGUCUCAGUUCAGAUUGUAGGCUGCAACUCGCCUGCAUGAAGUUGGAGUUGCUAGUAAACGCAGGUCAGCUAUACUGCGUUGAAUACGUUCCCGGGGUUU